RNAcentral lists this transfer RNA (67 nucleotides) under Marmota monax (woodchuck). Its description in RNAcentral is "tRNA.Ala". The record is from RNAcentral. Lineage: Eukaryota; Metazoa; Chordata; Mammalia; Rodentia; Sciuridae.
GGUUGUGGCUCAGUGGUAGAGCACUUGCCUAGCAAGUGCAGGGCCCUGGGUUCAACCCUCAACACCA